This is a non-coding RNA of Meleagris gallopavo (turkey), 7911 nucleotides long. Lineage: Eukaryota; Metazoa; Chordata; Aves; Galliformes; Phasianidae. The record is from RefSeq and is a predicted model, not a curated record.
AGCGUUGGGUUGGGGCGGAACGCGGCCGGAGGGAGCGCAGAGAGCUGCUGGCUAAAAAUACUGAAGAAAGAGGGUUGGGAAAAAGCUUUGCACAAAAUCACAUGGUGGGGAGGGUGCUCCAGAGAGGAGGCAGAGAGAGAAAGGCAGGCAGCGGGGUCGGGAGCGGCCGCGGGGUUGGCACGGAGCUGCCGGCUGGGCGUAGGGCUUUAGCCCAGCUGUGCUCGGAGCAGCGCGAGUCUCUGGGCUUAGCAGCUGAAUCUGAUCUUCUUCAGUAAGUGAUAAGAAAGCAGUGUAAGCUUGGAACGUCCUGCAGGUAGCCUACAGGCUUCGUGUAAAGCCCUGCACGAGGAGAAGCCUCGCUGAGGCUGUGCAUUGUGGGCCUGGUCCUCAGCAGAAGGGGCGAAGGUCUGGUGGGGGGAUCUGCUCCGUGCUGGGCUGUGCUCAGCACCCGGGGGGGCCAGGCUCAUGCACACCAAGCAGGGACAGCUGCUUCCCUCCUCCUCAUCCUUGGUUCCCAGGGGAGUACAUCUGGCCAGCUGCAGCCAGGCCAUUCUCCAGCACCAGCUUGCCCUGCCCCAGAGGCGCUUGCUGUGUCCUGUCCCUGGACCGAGGCACUUUGGGCUGCAGUUGCAGAUGCUGGUGCAGCCCUGCUCUGCUCUGUGACAGUGGCAAUUGCAAACUUUCCAAGUGUGGGCAGUCAGGUGGUUAAAAAGCUGCUGAUUGCAGAGGUGCCCAGCACAGAAACCUGGGCUUCAGACACCUGGCUCUUGUUACUUGCAAGGUAGUGCAUUUGGUCAGGCUCCUGCUGCACACGUGGGCUUUCAUUCUACCUUGCAGUGGAAGUGGACAUGGCUGUGUUGCCUCCAUGCCAGCAGUUGUGUUGCUGCCUUUGGAGCACUCUGCCAUGAACUUGCAGGAAGGCAAGAAGCUCACCAUAUGGUGCUGUGCCUUACAGUAAUUAACCUCAGAGUGAUGGAUGUCCAGGCCAAGGUGUUGGCAUCUGUCAAAGUGAAGCUGGUGAUGUGCAGGGGCUGGCUGGGAAGGGUUAGGUGGAUCAAGGGUCCCAGAUUCUAGCUGGGAGGAAGAACUGCAGCAGCGAUGGUGUGGCUCCCAGGUAAUUAGGAAGCUAGCUGGCUAUGGGGGCUCUGCCAGCAGAGGAUGCUAUGCUGAUGGCCAAGCAAACAAGGACAAUCCAAGGACCAAAGUGAGAGCCCAAAUUAAUAUCUUUUAUGAUUCUUAGGCUCAGUUCACUCCUGCAUCCUGAUUGAAAGGGAAACGGCCAAGUAUUUUGGCUGUGCUCAGAGCUGCGGAGGCUAGCGGUGUUAGUGCUCCAUUGGCCAGCGAGGACGGGGAGGAUUUCAGCUAUAUUCAAGUUAAUGCUAUCAUUUAUUUUAGGUAAUUGUUUGGGUUUUUCCUGGAGUGUCUGAAGCCUCCUGAAGUGAGCUAUUAGGAUGCUAAAUCAGAAUCAAGCUGAGUGGAGGGAGAGUGAGAAACUGAUUUUGAGGCACGUGAAAUGAUCGUAUUUGCGUAAUAAACAAAUGCAGAGGAGAAGAGUCAGGGCAGGGCAGUCAGUUAAGUGAGAGGGAUGGUAAUAUCCUUUGAGUUGAAAAAUGUACUUUAGCUCCUUCCAGGCUUUGUGUCCCAUGCAUGCACUGCAAUUCAGCAGCACUGCUUUCUGCAGGGGAGGGACAGGAACGGAGAGCAGGCUUCCCAGGGGAGAGGUGUGAGCAGUGGGAUGCCCUGCACAGGGACGUCGUGCACCAGCAGGCCCUGGAACAAAAAAAUAUUUUGUGAAGUUGACAGUCACGGGUUCCCUGGCUUGUGGAAGUUGUGGAAGUCCCUGUUGUGUUGCCCUGGCAGUGGAAGCUGCUGCCAUUUAUCAUGACAGUCAUGCCAGGGAAAGCAGAUUCUGCUCAGAAAAACGCCCACAUAUUUCCUCUGGGAUAUUCUGUAAGUAAAAAUUUCCACAUGAGAUAUGAAGAAGGCAAUAUUUAUAUUAAAAGAAUAACAUGUAAGUGGAGUGGAGAAGUAGCUUGCUACAAUUAAAAAAAAAAAAAAAAGUUUUCCAUGUAGGGUCACAGAAAUUGAAAUAAAGGCUGUUUUUUUGUAUCACAUCCCUCAGCAGCACUGAUAUGCAUUGACUGACAUGACAGAUUGCUGAAACAGAUGUGGUAAAACUGACACAUGGAACUAAUAAUACUUUAUAUACAUCUCGCAAUGAAAUCGUCCCAAGAAAUGAGCAGGACCAAUAAAUGGCUCAGUUAGAAACCAGGAAACUGGUUUCUUAAUGUUUUUAUAUAGAUCUCCAGAGAGUUUCAACUGAAGGUACAGAUUUCUUAAUGUGCUCACUCAUACAGGAACAAACAAUUCCUUGCCCAUGCCUUGCAACGGGGUGUUCCUCCUCCAUCUGCAAAGCUGUGGGAUCUCAUUACCAGCUGGCACUGGGGUAACUGAUGCUAAACCACCAGGACAUGACUGGCUCAUGUGGCACACUGACUGCUGGCAUGUGGAUCUUUCAUGAAAACGAACAGCAAUCUGGUUUGGGUUCAAAGCCAAGACUUCAGUACAUUGCUCAGAUUCACCUUGUUAUAUUUGCAGAACAGCCAGCUGAGCAUUCUCAGCCUGUGUGGUGUUCCUGUGUUGGUUGGGAUGCUCCAUCUCCUUUCUGAAAGGCAGUCAGGCCUGAGCUUUGUGUAACACCUUUCCAUUCCAUUACAGAGGUUCUUUCUGUUGUUGCCUUGCUGAUGCCAAGCAUUUCAUAGCAGAGGACAGCAGCCUCCAGACUAGCUUUGUGUUUUAAAGCUUAUUCUACUGCUAAAAUGAAUCAACUGAAUGCUCGUAUUUCUCAUGCAUUCCCAUUCUUUUGUUCCAUCUUCUAUAUUGCCAUGCUUUGAAUCUCCUGAGUUAUCUCGAGCCAUUUGACUGGAAACUUUGACAGAAAUAUAUUUCUUGAACUCUUAUUUCUCAGUUAUUUCCCCAUUUAGUGUAUAAUACACACCAUUAAGAGACCUGCCACAGACAUUUUCAUUUUGAUUGUGAAUAGUUCUGCUCUGUUAUGAUGUGUUUGCUUUGCUGCAAGUGAUGUUCUUUUUUUUCUGCUUUUUGCAGGACCCCGCGGGAAUAUUUGAACUGGUGCAGGUUGUUGGCAAUGGGACGUAUGGACAAGUCUAUAAGGAGCAGGAAGGAGCAGCGCAGUUCACUCCUCUGCUGCCAAAGAAAUGUUCGGUGUGACAGUGCGGAUCUCUUAGACAUCCACUGGAAAAACAAGCAAGGAAUAUUGACAGUAAAGAUUAAAAACUGUAUCCAAAGACUGCUCUCCACUGAACACGCGAGACCAAGGUCUGCUCGCUGUGGAUGAGGAGAUCUGGAUCUGGGAAUAUGGCAGCACCAGGAGGGCCCAGCCUGCAGCACCACAGCUUCUGAAGGGACCAUUAGAAGCUGGGCACUGAUGUUCCCUUUGCUUUUUCACUGCUAGGACUGACGGAGCAUAUUGUAAUUAUUUUUUAGUUUAUCUAGUUAGAGUGUAAGCUUGAGAUCAUAAAUAUAUGAUUUAUAAAGCAAUGCUGGUUGUCCACUAGUGCAUGUUUUCAUUUUUUGGAGGCAUCGGAUUCUUCCAUGCGUUCAGAAAUAGAUACACACAGUAUCAAAGUAAAGCAUAUUUCAGGCUAAAUAAAGUAUGUUCAAGAUUACUAAACUGUUUGCUUGGCUCUGAAGAUGACUCAGAAGGCUCUGCGUUUUAAUAAAUGCAGCUGCAUAAAAAUGAAAAUAAAGUUUAGAACUAGAUUUAUUGUUGGAUUUAAAAAACAAUGUUUAACAGAUUUGUUGGAGGAGGAUGUUGUUUGUAGGGAAUUGUUCCGGACCAGCUCCAGUUCAGUGUCCUCUAAAUGAAAUGGAAGGGAUAUAAAUUGCACCAGUGACAAUGCUGGAGCUGUCUACAAAUGUCAUAAAGUCAGGAUUUGCAUAUAAUAACUGCCUGAAAGCUAGAGGGUUUGUUGACCACUUACGCAGUAGUAGGGUGUAACCAUGCCAGCAUUGGCAACUUCAGCCUCUGGAAAAGUAUGAAUUGGAUAUUAAAAAUGCAGAUAGUACUUAGAAGUCAUGAGACUCGGGCUUCAUUAUCUCUUGACAUGACGAAUGAGUUUUUCAGCUAAUUACUUGCUUCCAGGUGACACAGCCUGAAGAACAGAGCCUUGCACGGAGCAGUUCUGGGUGAGACCAGGGAAGGGAAGGUGGUGGCUGUUUCAGUGGAGGCAUUUGGGGCAGCUGGAGAAGUAUGCAUAGUUGCUUUUUCAUGCCCCUGCUUCCUGAGGCUUGAAGUGGAGGUCAGGUAGCAUGCAGGUCCUGCACCAUCUCCAUUGAUUGCAAAGAGAAGUUCCUGGGCUUUGCAUGCUCCAGUGUGAGCUUGGGGCUGUCCUCUGGAAGGAAGUGAGAUUGCUGAAGAUGUCACCCGCAAACUCUGGGGUUUCGCUUCCCUUCUGAGCUGCAGUCCCCUUGCCCUGUGGAUGCUUCCCAAAGCAGCUCAGAAGAGAAGCUGCAGGCUGCUGUCCUUUGGGGAGCAGUGGAGCCGUGGGAAGCAAUCUAGGAGAUAACAGCAUCUUUUUCUUUUUUGCUAGUAGUUGCUGCAUUAUGGUGACACAGCAGUGUGCUGUUGAGGGAGCACCUUUGCAAGCACUGUGGGGGAGCAGACUGGUCUUCACCACUAGUGCCCAAGGCUCUGUCUUGCAGUAGAGAGCUAGCAGUGUCCUCAUCUGGACAACCCUUUGCCCACUCCCACUACUUCCAGGACUUUAAUUAUAGGGAUGCUCUUGUUUUCCUUUCACAGUUGUACUCUACUACUAUGAAGAACUGGAUGGUGAUUGUGUGUCAGCCUUGAUGUAGAACAGUCUCAGCUCUAGCUCUGUGCUUGUGUGUUUAGUAGUAACUGAACUGUAAUUUUGUGCGUGUGUGUGAAAUACUAUUUUUUGCAAAGAUUUCAGCUCUUAGUUUCGUUGUGUGUGGCUUCCAUAGAAGCCUGUUAAUGUGUUUUCUGUCUUUUAAUUUUCAGUGCUCUGCUUUAAUUGCAGAGUCAGUUUUCUGGUGGGUGACUAGGGAAAAGGAGAGCAGGGCACCUGACAUGGGUGUGUUGUUUGAGUCAGACACUGCUCUUGAGCAUGUGGUCCAACUCUGGAAGAGAUGUUUAAGAUUCUCAGUUUAUAGCUUCCAUAUUGAUUUUUUUUUUUGUCAUCAAGGUAUAGUUAACAAGAUGAAUUUCUCCUAAUCCUACUAGUUCAGCUGGACUGUGGCAGUCCUCAGCCUUCUGAGAAGGCUUUCAUGGGUUGAAUGAAUUCAGCGUCUGUACACACUGUUCAUUUGCUGGUGUGGAGAAGCACCUGACUGGGGCUUCUGACUUCCCUUUAUCAUAACGAGGUCGAUUAUCCCUCUUCUGGGGCCAGCAUCUCUGGGCAGAAUGGGAAAUGAGAGGCCGGUGCCUUUGCCAUGAUCCAGGGGCUGACUUUUUGGAGUACGGUUUUGCAGACUGAUGGCAAACCAUGACAGGUCUGCAGCUGUUUGGCAUGCAGAAUGGUUGUGUUUGUCACAGAGUCUGAAGGCAUGGAGAACUUGAGAGGAGUGCUGUUUUGGGGCUGUGAAAUUGAAAAAGGAAGAUGUGGAUUCCCAGUAACACAGCUGAUGGAGACAAAGCAGUGUUCUUGCUGGGGAUUUGCAAAGAAGAGAAGCAACAGAACUAUCCUGCAGUCUCUCUGCACACCCAGUGCCUUUAUUUCUGUAUAGUCAGAUAAGAUGCUGGAUAUGUAAAAGAAGCAGGUCUGCGUAAGGAAGUGCCUUUUUGUUUUUUGAUAUAGCUGAUUCUUGGCAUUGAACCAUACUUCAGUGGUUGAUGGGAGUGAUGAGUUGCUCUGCUGUUGAGGUAUGGUGGCAGGGGUGUUGUGAAGCACAAAUACAACUUUUCAGUUUAUCUUAAUUUGCUGUCUGUCUGUCUGCUGAGCUCUUCAUAUUAAUUUUCAUUGACUAGCUGGCUGAAGUAAUUGAGAGCAAGGGGAAGGGGGAAGACAGUGCGGUUUUUCAGGGAGAUCUGAUACUCCAUGGGAAGAUCACAAGACCAUGCUAAAUUGCAAAGUGUGAUGGCAGUGCCUCGGGCAGUUAAAGGAAAGCUCAAGGUAAGGAAUGUUACCAUUAUGCCCAUUGCAGUCCAGAAGGUGAAUGUGAAUAGGCUGAAAACUCCCAAGAGAUCUCUUUGGGGCAGUCAGGAGCAGCCACAUGAUGGAUGCCUCUUGCAGCUGAAAUGCAACAGUCUCCAGACUGCUGCCAAGAGAGAUUAGAGAUGUCAUAUCAUCUCAGGGCAUCUUGUUAACAUCUGUGGUCAGUUAUGCUUUUAAAGCCAAUCUCAGCCUUCAGGGCACUGAGAUUUUGGUCAGACAAGUGGUUGUUCUUUAUAGAAAUGAUGGAACACUGCUUCUACUUCACACACAGUUGGUAGCAGCGUUUGUCUAUUCAUUUUCUAUACUUGGGUUUUUAGUAGCGUUGAUUAUCAACCCAGGCCGUUCUAUGAUUCUAUGAUCGUGUCCACCUGCAAAACGAGUUAAUGGUAGAUAGCAGUGCCGAAGUCAGCAGGUUUAGGUGUGCAUGCCUGGGCUCAGCAGUGUGAGCAGACGGUGGAGAUGAGCUGCUCAUCCCGGCAGUAGGGGCUUCGUUCAGGAAAAAGUCUGAACUUCAUAUGUGCUAGUGCCAUCAUGAUGAGAUCUGACAUGCUGUGGUGCUUAUGAGCACAUCUCAGAGGCUGAGUGUUCCUAGAGGGGUUACCAUCCCAUUUGGUAUCACUUGGUACAUGCCAGUGCUGGAAUUUUCUGUCCUCGACUUCUCAUUAAACCAUCUGAGAAGCUACUUAAGGGCGUCAACUCAAACUGUUUCUCAUGAGUGACUCCAGUGUGGCCAGUUCUCAAGGCAUCAUUGUCCAUUGUGAACAGCUUGGUGGUGAUCUUAUUUCCUUGAUCCUCAGCUUUGUCAAAGCCCAUACUUGUGUAACAGUUCAGUAAGGUUUACUCAUGCUUCCAGACCCUGAGGGGAGAUGUCCUGGGAGCUGAAGAGCAGCUGGAGCUUACCUAAAAUUAAUUUCUGUAAAUCACCUUUGUAUUUCUUGGAAGGGAGUUUUCUCUAGACUUGAAGUACUCUAUGCCUUAUAUUCCUGACGGCUUUUUACACCUGGGUGCUGUGUGCAGGACUUGUUAAUCUCAAUGGAUACAUCAUACCCAACAUCAAGUCACUUACACACUAUCUAUCUGGUGACACUGAAGAAUAAGCAAAGCAGUAGUGAAAAUAUCUUUUAUUUAUGAACAUAUAUUUUAAAAAAGUAACAUAGCUUGUGUAUUCAGUUCUCAGAACCUGAGUCUAGUUUUUUUCAGGGUCUUUUUGUUUUUUGUUUUUUGUUUUUUUUUUAAAUCUUGGCUUCUCUGGUUAAUUGCAGGGUAAUGCUAAACAAUAUUCAGCAUGGGAAUUUAAAAUAAUGGCUCAUACAUGUGGAAUUAAUUAGCAAGUCCUGAAGUCCUGGUUCUAGUUAGUGAAUAUUUUAGAGGAAUUCAAUUAAGAUUCUUAAGUGUAGGGCUAGUUUAUCAAAAAUAGAAGAGUAAGAAUGUGAAAAAAAGGCCUCUCAGCUGUGGUGUGCUUCUAAUACAAUAAAUGCUCUUUGAGUGAGCAGAGCAGUGUACAAUAAUUAGAUGUGCCAUAUCAGCCAUUAGAGAAUAGUAAAAUCCUUGCAAAUAACUUGUUGUCAGGCCUGCCACUUCCAGCUCCUCCAUAUUUUCAACCUGAAUGUCCACAUGGGAGAGCGCAGUGCAUUUUGUCACAAACUGGAGGCGUUUCGAGCUCGGAUGUUGGCGCUGGGACAUGCUGCUUUGAAGCUAAGAGAAUAUCCUAAAA